GCCCUCGUAGCUCAGUUGGAUAGAGCGGUCGCCUCCUAAGCGAUAGGCCACAGGUUCGAUUCCUGUCGAGGGCG
This is a transfer RNA of Ilumatobacter coccineus YM16-304, 74 nucleotides long. It matches the Rfam family "tRNA". From Rfam's summary of the family: Transfer RNA (tRNA) molecules are approximately 80 nucleotides in length. Their secondary structure includes four short double-helical elements and three loops (D, anti-codon, and T loops). NCBI's taxonomy places the organism in Bacteria, Bacillati, Actinomycetota, Acidimicrobiia, Acidimicrobiales, Ilumatobacteraceae. The record is from Rfam.